UACAGAGGUCUCGAGCGUUAGGCGGAAUCACUGGGCUUAAAGGGCGCGUAGGCGGGUUCUCAAGUCCGGGGUGAAAUCCCACAGCUCAACUGUGGAACUGCCUCGGAUACUGGGUGCCUCGAGGGUGGUAGGGGUAUGCGGAACUAUCGGUGGAGCGGUGAAAUGCGUUGAUAUCGAUAGGAACUCCGGUGGCGAAGGCGGCAUACUGGACCACAUCUGACGCUGAGGCGCGAAAGCCAGGGGAGCGAACGGG
RNAcentral lists this ribosomal RNA (253 nucleotides) under uncultured bacterium. RNAcentral's name for it is "partial 16S ribosomal RNA". It matches the Rfam family "Bacterial small subunit ribosomal RNA", at positions 524 to 776 of the family's 1533-position model. The record is from RNAcentral.